Molecule: long non-coding RNA, 406 nt
Organism: Lycium ferocissimum
Lineage: Eukaryota; Viridiplantae; Streptophyta; Magnoliopsida; Solanales; Solanaceae
Exons: 3
Source: RefSeq, a predicted model, not a curated record
UUUUUUGCCCUCCUUUGUAUUUUAUUUCCUUUUAUCCUGCAUUUGUCCUCCGCUUCUGGGUAUCAUUCCCCAGAUUGUCCCGUUUUUAAUUUUCGAGUCUGCAUUUCAUUCAUUACUUCGGAUUAAUGAACCCAAAGUGUUCGGUGAUAUGCCUGAAACAACUAAACUAUUUGUUAGAAGUUUAUCACAGAAAAUAUUCCUGCUAAUAUGGAAGCAAUUGCUUCUGAGAAGCAGAGAGAACUAAUUAAUUGAAGCGGCCUUUGAGGUUUAUGAUGAGCUUGCUAAAGCAUUUCUGAUUUAGCUUCUUGUUAGUAAGUCACAUGCAUAUGCCGCUUGCUUUUUCUAUAAUUCUUUCGGCUCUUGUAGAAUUUGUACCGAUUUUAUUUGUUGCCUUUUUAGAGUUUGG